This 81-nucleotide transfer RNA is filed under the name Gemmatimonadota bacterium. RNAcentral's name for it is "Gemmatimonadetes bacterium (soil metagenome) tRNA-Leu". It matches the Rfam family "tRNA". From Rfam's summary of the family: Transfer RNA (tRNA) molecules are approximately 80 nucleotides in length. Their secondary structure includes four short double-helical elements and three loops (D, anti-codon, and T loops). Further hydrogen bonds mediate the characteristic L-shaped molecular structure. tRNAs have two regions of fundamental functional importance: the anti-codon, which is responsible for specific mRNA codon recognition, and the 3' end, to which the tRNAs corresponding amino acid is attached (by aminoacyl-tRNA synthetases). tRNAs cope with the degeneracy of the genetic code in two manners: having more than one tRNA (with a specific anti-codon) for a particular amino acid; and 'wobble' base-pairing, i.e. permitting non-standard base-pairing at the 3rd anti-codon position. Lineage: Bacteria; Pseudomonadati; Gemmatimonadota. The record is from RNAcentral.
GCCCGGGUGGUGAAAUGGCAAACACAGGGUACUUAAAAUACCCCGCCUAACGGCAUGCGGGUUCGAAUCCCGCCCCGGGCA